Molecule: transfer RNA, 71 nt
Filed under: Camelus bactrianus (Bactrian camel)
Lineage: Eukaryota; Metazoa; Chordata; Mammalia; Artiodactyla; Camelidae
Also listed under: 3 other names
Rfam family: tRNA
About the family: Transfer RNA (tRNA) molecules are approximately 80 nucleotides in length. Their secondary structure includes four short double-helical elements and three loops (D, anti-codon, and T loops). Further hydrogen bonds mediate the characteristic L-shaped molecular structure. tRNAs have two regions of fundamental functional importance: the anti-codon, which is responsible for specific mRNA codon recognition, and the 3' end, to which the tRNAs corresponding amino acid is attached (by aminoacyl-tRNA synthetases). tRNAs cope with the degeneracy of the genetic code in two manners: having more than one tRNA (with a specific anti-codon) for a particular amino acid; and 'wobble' base-pairing, i.e. permitting non-standard base-pairing at the 3rd anti-codon position.
Source: Rfam by way of RNAcentral
GAGGGUACAGCUCAGUGGUAGAGUGCAUGCUUAGCAUGCACAAGGUCCUGGGUUCCAUCCCCAGUCCCUCU